GGCUGUAGCUUGGUAGUAGAGCACCUGCUUUGCAUGCAGAAGGUCCCAGGUUCAAUCCCAGGUAGGGCUG
This is a non-coding RNA of Podarcis lilfordi (Lilford's wall lizard), 70 nucleotides long. The record is from the annotation of a GenBank genome assembly. Lineage: Eukaryota; Metazoa; Chordata; Lepidosauria; Squamata; Lacertidae.